RNAcentral lists this ribosomal RNA (253 nucleotides) under uncultured bacterium. Its description in RNAcentral is "partial 16S ribosomal RNA". It matches the Rfam family "Bacterial small subunit ribosomal RNA", at positions 524 to 776 of the family's 1533-position model. The record is from RNAcentral.
UACAGAGGGUGCGAGCGUUGUUCGGAAUUAUUGGGCGUAAAGGGCGCGUAGGCGGUGCGGUAAGUCACCUGUGAAAUCUCCUGGCUCAACUGGGAGCUUGCAGGCGAAACUGCCGUGCUGGAGUGUGGGAGAGGUGCGUGGAAUUCCUCGUGUAGCGGUGAAAUGCGUAGAUAUCAGGAGGAACACCUGUGGCGAAAGCGGCGCACUGGACCACAACUGACGCUGAGGCGCGAAAGCUAGGGGAGCAAACAGG